This 610-nucleotide ribosomal RNA is filed under the name uncultured bacterium. RNAcentral's name for it is "bacterial SSU rRNA". It matches the Rfam family "Bacterial small subunit ribosomal RNA", at positions 8 to 606 of the family's 1533-position model. The record is from RNAcentral.
AGAGUUUGAUCCUGGCUCAGAUUGAACGCUGGCGGCAGGCUUAACACAUGCAAGUCGAGCGGUAACAGAGAGUAGCUUGCUACUCUGCUGACGAGCGGCGGACGGGUGAGUAAUGCCUAGGAAUCUGCCUAGUAGUGGGGGAUAACUUGCCGAAAGGUAAGCUAAUACCGCAUACGUCCUACGGGAGAAAGGAGGGGACUCUUCGGAGCCUUUCGCUAUUAGAUGAGCCUAGGUCGGAUUAGUUAGUUGGUGAGGUAAUGGCUCACCAAGACCGCGAUCCGUAACUGGUCUGAGAGGAUGAUCAGUCACACUGGAACUGAGACACGGUCCAGACUCCUACGGGAGGCAGCAGUGGGGAAUAUUGGACAAUGGGGGAAACCCUGAUCCAGCCAUGCCGCGUGUGUGAAGAAGGUCUUAGGAUUGUAAAGCACUUUAAGUUGGGAGGAAGAGCAGUUAACUAAUAUUUGACUGUUUUGACGUUACCGACAGAAUAAGCACCGGCUAACUUCGUGCCAGCAGCCGCGGUAAUACGAAGGGUGCAAGCGUAAUCGGAAUUACUGGGCGUAAAGCGCGCGUAGGUGGUUCGUUAAGUUAGGAGUGAAAGCCCCGG